Molecule: transfer RNA, 73 nt
Filed under: Sinorhizobium medicae
Lineage: Bacteria; Pseudomonadati; Pseudomonadota; Alphaproteobacteria; Hyphomicrobiales; Rhizobiaceae
Description: tRNA-Ala
Rfam family: tRNA
About the family: Transfer RNA (tRNA) molecules are approximately 80 nucleotides in length. Their secondary structure includes four short double-helical elements and three loops (D, anti-codon, and T loops).
Source: RNAcentral
GGGGCUGUAGCUCAGCUGGGAGAGCACCUGCUUUGCAAGGGGGUCAGCGGUUCGAUCCCGCUCAGCUCCACCA